GUGAAUCAUCAAAUUUUUGAACGCAAAUUGCGCUUCCUGGCAUCACGGGAAGUAUGCCUGUGUGAGGGUCAGUAUUAAUAAAAAAUCGGCUUAGUUACAAAUUGUGAUGUUUCGGGAGUUUGGGCUAUUUUAACAUUUUUGGUUAAGAGGCUUAAAAUUGACCUUUUUUGUGCAUUUUCAAAUGUAAAUAAAUUACUUUAUACGUCUAUUCUUAAUGCCAAAAUAUUAUUAGAUGCGAUUACAUCGUGUGGCUUCGAGUAAAUAAAAUUUUAAUGAUUUGACCUCAA
Molecule: unclassified non-coding RNA, 287 nt
Filed under: Glomeraceae sp.
Lineage: Eukaryota; Fungi; Glomeromycota; Glomeromycetes; Glomerales; Glomeraceae
Description: partial contains 5.8S ribosomal RNA and internal transcribed spacer 2
Rfam family: 5.8S ribosomal RNA (bases 1-71)
Source: RNAcentral